RNAcentral lists this non-coding RNA (498 nucleotides) under Pan troglodytes (chimpanzee). Lineage: Eukaryota; Metazoa; Chordata; Mammalia; Primates; Hominidae. The record is from RNAcentral.
AGAUUACGUAUUGAGGAACCAUAUUCAUUCAGAUAAAGCCACAGACACGAAUUCUCAUGGAAGCCUAUCAAACAUAAACAGAAAGACUCUGGGAUUAUAACAUGGAAAUAGUGAAUUUCUGACUGCAAUUGGUGUUGAAAAAGCUAAGAACCAAGUUUCCCUUAAAUAAUUAGCUCCAUAUUCAAAAGAAUUAAAGUGUAUAUACCAGUACUGAACAGCACACUGGAGUUUUUGUCCAGAAGUUUGACUUUAGAAGAUAAGAAAUAACUGAGCGUACAAGCAGGAGUUAGAGGAAGAGACUCAGUACAGAAGAGACAGGAACAAAAGUUCACCUCCAUUCAAUGGGAAAGGAUACAGAUCAAGAGUUCAGGAAAAGUAGGAGAAAGAAGCUCUAUUCCAGAAGCAGUCUGGAGCACAAAGAAUCCCUAAUCACUGACAUUAAGAAAGAAGAAAAAUAUUCCUAGGACGAUCCUGGAGAGCAAAGGUCAUCAGCAGUCA